RNAcentral lists this ribosomal RNA (492 nucleotides) under uncultured bacterium. RNAcentral's name for it is "partial 16S ribosomal RNA". It matches the Rfam family "Bacterial small subunit ribosomal RNA", at positions 29 to 507 of the family's 1533-position model. The record is from RNAcentral.
AGUGAACGCUGGCGGUAGGCCUAACACAUGCAAGUCGAACGGCAGCACAGUAAGAGCUUGCUCUUACGGGUGGCGAGUGGCGGACGGGUGAGGAAUACAUCGGAAUCUACUUUUUCGUGGGGGAUAACGUAGGGAAACUUACGCUAAUACCGCAUACGACCUACGGGUGAAAGCAGGGGAUCUUCGGACCUUGCGCGAUUGAAUGAGCCGAUGUCGGAUUAGCUAGUUGGCGGGGUAAAGGCCCACCAAGGCGACGAUCCGUAGCUGGUCUGAGAGGAUGAUCAGCCACACUGGAACUGAGACACGGUCCAGACUCCUACGGGAGGCAGCAGUGGGGAAUAUUGGACAAUGGGCGCAAGCCUGAUCCAGCCAUACCGCGUGGGUGGAGAAGGCCUGCGGGUUGUAAAGCCCUUUUGUUGGGAAAGAAAAGCAGCAGGUUAAUACCCCGCUGUUCUGACGGUACCCAAAGAAUAAGCACCGGCUAACUUCGUG